Non-coding RNA from Pelobates cultripes (western spadefoot toad), 234 nucleotides. NCBI's taxonomy places the organism in Eukaryota, Metazoa, Chordata, Amphibia, Anura, Pelobatidae. The record is from the annotation of a GenBank genome assembly.
CACCAGACUCCUCCCACUUCCUCUUUCUUAGGUGAUGCCGAACAGGAUAGGAGAAAUGAACUUGUAAACUUGAAACAUUCUGCGGUUUAGUCCGUAGCAAGUCAACCAUGUAAACGGGUAGAUGGAGAGAUUAAUCCGAAGUUUUCACACUAGAAGAGAAGAAAAGAGACUUCGUGAAAGUAUGGUCUCUUGAGGAAGAGAAAAGUACAAAUACGCAUCCUGACUGAUUUGAGC